This 683-nucleotide long non-coding RNA is filed under the name Lupinus angustifolius (narrow-leaved blue lupine). Its description in RNAcentral is "long non-coding RNA (LANG_LNC002799)". The record is from RNAcentral. Lineage: Eukaryota; Viridiplantae; Streptophyta; Magnoliopsida; Fabales; Fabaceae.
AAUGUAAGAAAUAUAAAUAAAUGAUUAAUUUACACGAUAAUAUUCAAGUCAAUGAAUAAUAUUUCUUCUAAAUAUGGCUUCUUUAGUUGUUACCCUACCUCUAUGAACUUAAAUAAAAUAACAAACCUUUGAGGGAGUAAAGAGAAUCCCACACUUUUGAAGAAUGUUGCCUACUUUUGUUUGGGCAGUAGCCAUGAUUCCAAAUAAACCCUAAAUCCCCUAUUUGGCUUUCCUCCCUCUCAAGCAAAUUCAUUCUCUAUUGAAUCUUCCAAUAUCAUUUAUCAUCAAUCCAAUCUUCAUAAUCAGCAACUAAAGCUUGUCUAUUCAAAGCAAGCAAAAAUAAUAUUGGAAAACAUCUUCUAAAUUUUAGCGACCACAACAAAUGUCAUGUCAAAAAAAAAGGUUUGAGUGUUAUCUCCAAUAAUUUUCCAAAGAUUUCUUUCGAACCCAACACCGACAAUCCCCCGAGAGCGAGACAAAUUUCCCCAAUCCUACCACGAGGUCGAGUUGUUGUUUGAACCAACUAUUUCUACCUCUAAACUAUACUUCGAAUUGAGUACUUUAACCCAAAAAGAAUUGGCUUCUUGAAUUCUUCUCCGCUUCCAUUUACAUAAAAGCAUUUCGUUGAAACAUAAUUUUUUUACUUUCAAACCUCCUUCACUUUUCGGUUUACACACAUCAGA